CCAGCACCUGCUACACUUAAGACCCCAACGGCUCCAGCACAGCAACCCACCACCGCGAUGAGGGACACAGUGCCUUCGGCGCGAGAACUCCUAGUACUGGGAAUCGCACACCUAGGGCACGGGCGGGGUCUGGAGGUGGGCCAUUACCGUCCAUCACUCACACUAUGGAGGUUCGCGGCUGUUGGCAAGAAGGACCCCAAACCCUUUCCGUGAGCCCUAACCAAACGAUCCAGGGACGAAAGAAGUUCGUGGCGAUGACCUCGAGAAUGGAACGCGAGACUUUGUCCACGAUGGACUCUAACUUCCUCCUCAUUGUGUCCUCUGCACGGAGUUGGGGCGGGGGAGGGCAGAGCAUUGACCGAACCAGCUUGUUGAGCCCGUGGGUCUCAGCAGGAGAGAUGCCCCCCUCACUAAAAAUCAUUUAGUUAAAUCAAGUUUACGGACUUUUUUCCAAUAUAUUUAUUUUUAACCAAAUCUUAGGAAGUCUACUUGUUAAACUAUCUAGAAAAACUUAACUGUAAAUUACAGGAAAUUAUUAGCACAAAGGCCUAAAAUGAAUGCAGCAAACGACAAAAUAAACAUUAGAGCUAUGAGAACGCUUAA
Long non-coding RNA from Scleropages formosus (Asian bonytongue), 603 nucleotides. RefSeq lists it as uncharacterized. The record is from RefSeq and is a predicted model, not a curated record. NCBI's taxonomy places the organism in Eukaryota, Metazoa, Chordata, Actinopteri, Osteoglossiformes, Osteoglossidae. The transcript has 3 exons.